This 1642-nucleotide ribosomal RNA is filed under the name Vibrio cholerae. RNAcentral's name for it is "partial 23S ribosomal RNA". It matches the Rfam family "Bacterial large subunit ribosomal RNA", at positions 1325 to 2925 of the family's 2925-position model. The record is from RNAcentral. Lineage: Bacteria; Pseudomonadati; Pseudomonadota; Gammaproteobacteria; Vibrionales; Vibrionaceae.
AAAACCUCCUCGCCGGAAGACCAAGGGUUCCUGUCCAACGUUAAUCGGGGCAGGGUGAGUCGACCCCUAAGGUGAGGCCGAAAGGCGUAAUCGAUGGGAAACGGGUUAAUAUUCCCGUACUUCUGACUAUUGCGAUGGGGGGACGGAGAAGGCUAGGUGGGCCAGGCGACGGUUGUCCUGGUUCAAGUGCGUAGGCUUGAGAGUUAGGUAAAUCCGGCUCUCUCUAAGGCUGAGACACGACGUCGAGCUACUACGGUAGUGAAGUCAUUGAUGCCAUGCUUCCAGGAAAAGCCUCUAAGCUUCAGAUAGUCAGGAAUCGUACCCCAAACCGACACAGGUGGUCGGGUAGAGAAUACCAAGGCGCUUGAGAGAACUCGGGUGAAGGAACUAGGCAAAAUGGUACCGUAACUUCGGGAGAAGGUACGCUCUUGAUGGUGAAGUCCCUCGCGGAUGGAGCUGACGAGAGUCGCAGAUACCAGGUGGCUGCAACUGUUUAUUAAAAACACAGCACUGUGCAAAAUCGCAAGAUGACGUAUACGGUGUGACGCCUGCCCGGUGCCGGAAGGUUAAUUGAUGGGGUUAGCGCAAGCGAAGCUCUUGAUCGAAGCCCCGGUAAACGGCGGCCGUAACUAUAACGGUCCUAAGGUAGCGAAAUUCCUUGUCGGGUAAGUUCCGACCUGCACGAAUGGCGUAAUGAUGGCCACGCUGUCUCCACCCGAGACUCAGUGAAAUUGAAAUCGCUGUGAAGAUGCAGUGUACCCGCGGCUAGACGGAAAGACCCCGUGAACCUUUACUACAGCUUGGCACUGAACAUUGAACCUACAUGUGUAGGAUAGGUGGGAGGCUAUGAAGACGUGACGCCAGUUGCGUUGGAGCCGUCCUUGAAAUACCACCCUUGUAUGUUUGAUGUUCUAACUUAGACCCAUUAUCUGGGUUGAGGACAGUGCCUGGUGGGUAGUUUGACUGGGGCGGUCUCCUCCCAAAGAGUAACGGAGGAGCACGAAGGUGGGCUAAUCACGGUUGGACAUCGUGAGGUUAGUGCAAUGGCAUAAGCCCGCUUAACUGCGAGAAUGACGGUUCGAGCAGGUGCGAAAGCAGGUCAUAGUGAUCCGGUGGUUCUGUAUGGAAGGGCCAUCGCUCAACGGAUAAAAGGUACUCCGGGGAUAACAGGCUGAUACCGCCCAAGAGUUCAUAUCGACGGCGGUGUUUGGCACCUCGAUGUCGGCUCAUCACAUCCUGGGGCUGAAGUCGGUCCCAAGGGUAUGGCUGUUCGCCAUUUAAAGUGGUACGCGAGCUGGGUUUAGAACGUCGUGAGACAGUUCGGUCCCUAUCUGCCGUGGGCGUUGGAAGAUUGAAGGGGGCUGCUCCUAGUACGAGAGGACCGGAGUGGACGAACCUCUGGUGUUCGGGUUGUGUCGCCAGACGCAUUGCCCGGUAGCUAAGUUCGGAAUUGAUAAGCGCUGAAAGCAUCUAAGCGCGAAGCGAGCCCUGAGAUGAGUCUUCCCUGACAGUUUAACUGUCCUAAAGGGUUGUUCGAGACUAGAACGUUGAUAGGCAGGGUGUGUAAGCGUUGUGAGGCGUUGAGCUAACCUGUACUAAUUGCCCGUGAGGCUUAACCAUACAACACCCAAGGGGUUUUGUA